RNAcentral lists this long non-coding RNA (660 nucleotides) under Brassica rapa (field mustard). RNAcentral's name for it is "long non-coding RNA (BRAP_LNC006302)". Lineage: Eukaryota; Viridiplantae; Streptophyta; Magnoliopsida; Brassicales; Brassicaceae. The record is from RNAcentral.
GGAAAUACAAUGAGUUUUUCUUAGGAGUUUCUCACUCUCCUCCAUGACAUGACUUGAUAAAUUUCUUGAUAAAAGACUCCUUAUGAUCCUCUCAGCUAUUUAUACUCUCAGCUAACCCUUAUUCCUCACACAUACUCGUGAGCCAUUACGCACGUGCAGAUCUUCCACGUCACCCACACCUCUAUGUGUGAUCCCAACAUACCAUGUCCACUUGUUCCCUCCCAAGCCACGUCCUUUAAUACCUCUUGCAUCUCUAAUUGGCCCAUCGUAUCAUUAGAUUCGAUGGCUCUGAUACCAAUUUGAUACCAAUUUGAUACGUUUUACUGUAUCAAACUUGUAAAAAGAUCCAAAUAAAGGAAUUCCAGAUAUUUUUAUAGAUCAAAAAGGGAAAUACAAUGAGUUUUUCUUAGGAGUUUCUCACUCUCCUCCAUGACAUGACUUGAUAAAUUUCUUGAUAAAAGACUCCUUAUGAUCCUCUCAGCUAUUUAUACUCUCAGCUAACCCUUAUUCCUCACACAUACUCGUGAGCCAUUACGCACGUGCAGAUCUUCCACGUCACCCACACCUCUAUGUGUGAUCCCAACAUACCAUGUCCACUUGUUCCCUCCCAAGCCACGUCCUUUAAUACCUCUUGCAUCUCUAAUUGGCCCAUCGUAUCAU